Molecule: long non-coding RNA, 225 nt
Organism: Bradysia coprophila
Lineage: Eukaryota; Metazoa; Arthropoda; Insecta; Diptera; Sciaridae
Source: RefSeq, a predicted model, not a curated record
UUUUUUGAAGUUUUUUGAUUCAUUCUGCUUUGAAUGAUAACGGAAGAUCGGUGUCAUUCGAAAGCUACAGCAUAUGACUUCACGAGAAAAAUAACUUUGGGUCAAUCAGGUUAGUUGGAUGAGUGUAGUAGGUGAAAACAGCUUCCCAGUGGUGAUAAGUGUCAUCCUCGAAUUUUAACUCGUCGAGAUUAUUUCGAAAAUUUUGUAACCAUUUUUUUAAACGGU